Molecule: non-coding RNA, 787 nt
Filed under: Boreus elegans
Lineage: Eukaryota; Metazoa; Arthropoda; Insecta; Mecoptera; Boreidae
Source: RNAcentral
AAAAUUUUAUUCUUGUUUAGAAAUUUAUUAUUAAUUUUUAUUAUAUGUAAAUUUUUGUGUUAUAAUUUUGAUAUUCUAAAUGAAUAAAUUAAUUUUAAUAUUUUCAGUAAUAAAUUUUAUAUAUUAAAGAAAUUUAGAAUUAGAAAUAUUAUUAAGGAUUAGCAAAAGUUGUGCCAGCAGCUGCGGUUAUACAAAAAAUAUAAAUAAAUAUUAUUAAUUUGUAGUUAGUUUAAUAAAAUUAAAAAUAAUAUUAAUUUUAUUAGGUAAAAUUUUAAAAUUUUAAAAUUUUAAAAAAUAUGAAGCUAUGAAAUUUAAUUAAUAAACUAGGAUUAGAUACCCUAUUAUUUUAAGUGUAAAAAUGAUUUAAAUUUAAGUAUUAAUAGUUAUAUUCUUUAAACUUAAAGAAUUUGGCGGUAUUUUAGUCUAUUUAGAGGAACCUGUUUUAUAAUUGAUAAUCCACGUUAAAUUUUACUUAAUUUUAAUAAUAAAGUUUGUAUAUCGUCGUCAUUAGAAUAUUUUAAAAGAAUUAAAAUUUUCUUAAAUUAUUAGUAUAAAAAAUGUCAGAUCAAGGUGCAGCAUAUAGUUAAGUAAAAAUGGGUUACAAUAAUAUAAAUUAUUGAUGGAAAAUUAGUUGAAAUAUUAAUUGUAAAUUGGAUUUAAUAGUAAAUAUAAUUAUAUUAUUAUAUUGAUUUUAGCUCUAAAAUAUGUACAUAUCGCCCGUCGCUCUCAUUUUAAAAUGAGAUAAGUCGUAACAUAGUAGAUGUACUGGAAAGUGUAUCUAGAAAGA